RNAcentral lists this long non-coding RNA (3119 nucleotides) under Helianthus annuus (common sunflower). Its description in RNAcentral is "hypothetical non coding rna". The record is from RNAcentral. Lineage: Eukaryota; Viridiplantae; Streptophyta; Magnoliopsida; Asterales; Asteraceae.
AAAAAGUAAUUAAAGGAUGAUAGUUGUGCCAAUAUUAUCUAGUGGCAAACUUGAGGGACUAAAAUAGGGUAAAAUGAAAGUUGAAUAUUAUUUAUGAAAAACACACACAAAUACACACACACGUACGUGUGUUCUAGAAGAGCAGGAGCUCCAUAAGAGCUCAAAACCCUAAACAUGAAGGAUCAUCAAAUUGAAGGGCAAAUCAAGGUCUAAAUUCAUGAAUAAACACGGUUUAAUGAUCACCUCUUCAUGGGGAUCGCAAGGUAUGUUCUAAAAGCUAGUUUGGUGAUUAUCCAUGAAGCGGGUUAUGAUGUAAAUCACGAAUUUGUGUGAAAUUGAGUAUAAGUAUGUGUUAGAAUCAUCAUUUGGAACAUGGGAUAUGCAUGAAUUAGGUUAAUUUAAUGUUUAAGGGUGAAACCCGUUUGUUAUGGUGAAGAUGAUGACAUGGGUAAAUCAUCUAUGUCUAAGUUCUUGCUUAAUAUUGAUGUAUUUUGAGUUGUAUGAUGUAUUAUUGUUAGAAGAAUUGAAAGAAAUGUGAUACUAGUAUGUUUGAUGUUUAUGCAUGUAUGAAUCAUGUUGAUUAGGGGGAAGAAAUUGAUGAAUUGUGUACGAGAUUAGAAUGAUAUGCAUGAACUAGUUGUACACUAUGCUUACAAGGUAGUACAUAUAUCAAAAGUAAGAUGAAUUAUGAAGAACUUAAGAUUAGAUCACUUGUAAGUGAUUAACAAGUAGUUAUGAAGUGGGUUUUAGAUGAUGUAAUGUAAAUUGAUGAUUCACUUAUGUUAAUAAUGUUUGGAAUCAUACACGUGUGUGAAUGUUUAAAGAUAUGGGAUAAGAAAUGAUGAAUUGUUGUUAGAUGAAGUGAAUAAAAUGUGAUGAUAACAUGUUUGAUGUUUAAUUUAAAUACCCCAUGUUGGAUUGUAGAAGCAUUUGAUGAACUAUGUAUGAAUUUAGAAGAUUGUGUAUGAAUAAGUUGUACGUUAUGCUUAAAAGGUAGUACGUACAUCAAGUGAAUGAUAAAAUGUAUAUAGUGUCGUCCGUAUAGUCGAUUAUGAUGUUACAGGAAUAUGUUGAUAAGUCGAUAGUUAUGUAUGGUUGAUAGUUGACUUUUGAAAGUCAACUAAGUAUAAGAAACAUGAGUUGACUCGUUGUCGUAAAUGUAGGUUGAUGAGAAGUCGUAUGGUACAUGUAAUAGCAAUCCGUGUUAAUUGUAAUGACAUGAUGAGUUACAUGAGUUAAACGUAUACGGACACGAUUAUAUGAGUUAUGUUUGUUAGAAAUGGUUAAUGAAAGUUAAGUGUGAAAUAUGGGAUUGAUACGAUUGUUAUCAUGUACAAAUAAGUAUGCUAAUGAUAGCGUGAUUUCGAUGACAUGGAAGAAUAGGAAUCAUGUCGAGACGGAAUCAGGCACGAAAGGCUAACGGGUCAAGAAGUGGCGAGGAACGAAUGGGAACACGGAUGCAUGAGGUAAGUGAUUCCGUAAUCACUUCUUAGUUGUUUAUGUAAAGUUAUAUGCAUUUUAAUUAAAUGUGAUAAUUGAGGUCAAUUAGGAAUGAAUUGUAUGAUGUCAAUGAGUAUUAAAUGGAUCUUAGCUUUUAUCCGAGCAAUGUAUGUAUGAUUAAGAAUUUUAGUUAAGUAGGAGAAUUCGUUACUUGUGUAAGGAAUUCCUUUGUUGUUAAGGAUAGAGCGAAAUUGACAAAAACGCCCCUAGAUAGGUAUAUCGGGCAAACGACCUUGAAUGUCGAUUGGAAACAAGUGAACCGACUAGAAUAAUGUGUUGGUCAUGUGUGAAAGCGAAGAGUAUGGUUCUGUUAUGUUAUAGACCAUUUAAUGCACAAAUAUCCAAACGGGUCAAAAAUGAGCUUUUAAGCGAAAAUGGGUUAAGAGGAUGCAAGGCAUCCGGGAAUUAAAUCUUUUAUGAUAGGCGUCAAUGAAAUUAUUAAGUUUAUAUGAGACUGAGGUCAAAUAAACAGAUUAUGAUGAUAAAUGCACGAACGGGUCAAAUAAUUAGAAUAUGAUAAUAAGCCGAAUGCAUGUAAGUUAAGAAUUUCCUUAAUCCGGAUAUAGGAUUUUAAGUUCAUAUGAUAGAAUGUGAAUUUACAAGCAUGUAGGAAGAAACGGGAGGUUAAACGGGUAAACGGGUCAAAAGUUACGCGCGUAUUAGUGCGUACGGACGACGAAACGGAUCUGCAGAAAAAUGAACUUUCUAGAGGGCGUCGCCGACGGGUAUAUACCCGUCGCCGACGGGCUCCCAAAUGUUCAAAAUCAGCCGACGCCUUAAGCUCCUGGUUACGGCCUUAUGUGCUUACGGGCGAUUUGAGAGGCCGUCGCCGACGGCCUAGGACCCGUCGGCGACGGGCUGUCUUUUCCCCUUCUCCGUUUUCUUUGUUUUGUACAUCCGACUGAUCAGUAACGCAUCCCGGUGCAUCGUUUUUCGACCCAAUGGUUUAUUAAGCUCCCGAAAAGCCCUUUUAGCUCAUGUGGAAAGGCAUGUAUGUAUGUAUGUAUGUAUAUGCGUGUGUAUGUCUUAGGUAUGUAUGUAGGUGUGUAUGUAGGUAGAACAUAUAUACACGAAAGCGAAAAUGUACGAAGAUAUGUAUGUACGUAGAUUGUGUGAAGGCAUGAAAUGAGUAUGUAUGUAUGUAUAAUGAUAUAGACGAGUGUAUGCAUGUAUGUAAUGUUGUAGGAAAGAUAUGUACGAAUGUAUAUAUGGAUGUAUGUAAGUGAGUACGUAUGUAAUGUAGAUGUGUACGUAUGUAUGUAUGUAAGCACGUAUGUAUUGUAGAGGUGUAUGUAUGUAUAUGUGCAUGUAUGUACGUAUGUUAGUACGUAGGUAAUUAUGAUUUGGAGACGUUGGGAGUUAAUGUUAUUAAUGGUGUACUUUGAGAAUGAAAAGUAAUGCAGGUACAUCAUUGAAGCAUCACCGGGAAGUGAAUACGCAGAUGACAUGCUUAAAGCUUGAAAGAUGACGAAAUGUGUUGUACAGAUAAUGGGCGAUUAUCACAAGGAUUAGAGAUCGAAGAUCGAGUCACAAGUUAGAUUGUACGGGGACGUUGAAUGUAAAAUGUAGCAAUCAUAAGUUAUGUUUUUAAUUAGUAAAUAAGAGGAUGACGGGUUUAU